RNAcentral lists this ribosomal RNA (786 nucleotides) under Triticum aestivum (bread wheat). RNAcentral describes it as "partial small subunit ribosomal RNA". Lineage: Eukaryota; Viridiplantae; Streptophyta; Magnoliopsida; Poales; Poaceae. The record is from RNAcentral.
AUGGCACCGUCGUUCUGGGGCCCCGAGUUCCCCCCGCAGCCGGCGGCGGUGUUCGACGACCUCGCACCCGUGGAGGCGGAGGAGGAGGAGGAGGACGCGUACGAGGACGAGAUGGAGGAGGAGGAGGAGGAUGAGCACGGCAGCGACGGGGAGGUCGUCCCGAUGGACACCGAGGACUCGGGCGAGGAGCUCGUCUACUCCGGCUGCGGCUGCAACAUGCUCACCCUGUCCUUCCCGGGCGCUGUGCACAUCUUCAUGUCUGCCUCCCCUGACAAGGUGUCGCAGGUGGAAGCUGCACUUUCGCUGCAGGGGCGAUUGGAUCCGGCGGACUCUACGACUGCACCGCCCACCUCGCGCAACACGCUCACCAUGACCUUCCGGGGCGAGGAGUGCAAUUUCGACUCUGUAACCCCUGAUGAGGUGCAAGAUGUGCUUUUGUCGCUCGCGGGAAGGGAGCUGAUGGUCCCUAGGAUUGAGCUCAUAAUGGGGUUCCCGAACUGGAGCUACGAAUUCGACUCUGUAUCCCCUGAUAAGUUGCAAGCUGUACUUUCGCUGCUGGGGGGAAUGAAGCUGACGGUCUAUACGGCUGUGCCAUGUGCCUUGCACGACCAGCUCACUGAACCCUUGAUGUGUUGGAUCGACGUGUUGCACCCUGCACUCCCUGAUAAGGUGGAAGCUUUACUUUCGCUGCUCCAGGGAAACGAGCUCAACCCAGGCAUUGGUGGUGGAGCAUCACCAUCAAUUCCAUACAGACUAUUUUUACAGUCCAUAAACAAUGUUUGGUAA